AGCAAGCACCGGCUAACUACGUGCCAGCAGCCGCGGUAAUACGUAGGGUGCGAGCGUUAAUCGGAAUUACUGGGCGUAAAGCGUGCGCAGGCGGCUUUUUAAGACAGGUGUGAAAUCCCCGGGCUUAACCUGGGAAUGGCGCUUGUGACUGGAAGGCUAGAGUGCGGCAGAGGGGGAUGGAAUUCCUGGUGUAGCAGUGAAAUGCGUAGAUAUCAGGAGGAACACCGAUGGCGAAGGCAGUCCCCUGGGUCGACACUGACGCUCAGGCACGAAAGCGUGGGGAGCAAACAGGAUUAGAUACCCUGGUAGUCCACGCCCUAAACGAUGUCAACUAGUUGUUGGGGAAGGAGACUUCUUUAGUAACGUAGCUAACGCGUGAAGUUGACCGCCUGGGGAGUACGGCCGCAAGGUUAAAACUCAAAGGAAUUGACGGGGACCCGCACAAGCGGUGGAUGAUGUGGAUUAAUUCGAUGCAACGCGAAAAACCUUACCUACCCUUGACAUGCCAGGAACUUUCCAGAGAUGGAUUGGUGCCCGAAAGGGAGCCUGGACACAGGUGCUGCAUGGCUGUCGCCAGCUCGUGUCGUGAGAUGUUGGGUUAAGUCCCGCAACGAGCGCAACCCUUGUCAUUAGUUGCUACAUUUAGUUGAGCACUCUAAUGAGACUGCCGGUGACAAGCCGGAGGAAGGUGGGGAUGACGUCAAGUCCUCAUGGCCCUUAUGGGUAGGGCUUCACACGUCAUACAAUGGCGCGUACAGAGGGUUGCCAACCCGCAAGGUGUGAGC
Molecule: ribosomal RNA, 785 nt
Filed under: uncultured bacterium
Lineage: Bacteria
Description: bacterial SSU rRNA
Rfam family: Bacterial small subunit ribosomal RNA
Source: RNAcentral